RNAcentral lists this ribosomal RNA (253 nucleotides) under uncultured bacterium. Its description in RNAcentral is "partial 16S ribosomal RNA". It matches the Rfam family "Bacterial small subunit ribosomal RNA", at positions 524 to 776 of the family's 1533-position model. The record is from RNAcentral.
UACGUAGGGUGCGAGCGUUAAUCGGAAUUACUGGGCGUAAAGCGUGCGCAGGCGGUUGUGUAAGACAGGUGUGAAAUCCCCGGGCUUAACCUGGGAACUGCGCUUGUGACUGCACGGCUAGAGUAUGGCAGAGGGGGGUGGAAUUCCGGGAGGAGUGGUGAAAUGCGUAGAGAUCCGGAGGAACACCAGAGGCGAAGGCGGCGCCCUGGGCUGCACCUGACGCUCAUGCACGAAAGCGUGGGGAGCAAACAGG